RNAcentral lists this long non-coding RNA (380 nucleotides) under Chlamydomonas reinhardtii. RNAcentral describes it as "long non-coding RNA (CREI_LNC000880)". The record is from RNAcentral. Lineage: Eukaryota; Viridiplantae; Chlorophyta; Chlorophyceae; Chlamydomonadales; Chlamydomonadaceae.
GGUGUGCAGCGACUUGCGCUCCAGCUCGCCGGUGGGCUUGAUGCUGUGGAAUAGGAUGGCGGUGCCCUUCUUGGGCUUGGCGGCCAGGUGGUAGCGCGCGCACUCGGAGAAGCCCACGUUCUCGCCACCGGGGGCUGCGAUGUUGGGGAACACGGUCUCGCCGCCCUCCUCGGUGUCCACCAGGUACAUGAGUACGGUGGCGUAGCGGUUGCCGCCGUUGGCAAUGCCGUCCUUGCUGCGGGGCGGAUGGGGGGAGGAGGGAAGCAGGGCGAGGGCAGCAGGUAGUCAGCAACAGGUUCCUAGGUGCCGAGGUCAAGUGGAGCGUUGCAGCUGGGGCAGACGAUACACGCACAUGCCUGCCAAAAUCGCCCUGCUGUUAA